Molecule: ribosomal RNA, 744 nt
Filed under: Leotiomycetes sp. genotype 227
Lineage: Eukaryota; Fungi; Ascomycota; Leotiomycetes
Description: eukaryotic LSU rRNA
Rfam family: Eukaryotic large subunit ribosomal RNA (bases 203-744)
Source: RNAcentral
ACGCACAUUGCGCCCCUUGGUAUUCCGGGGGGCAUGCCUGUUCGAGCGUCAUUUCAACCCUCAAGCACAGCUUGGUGUUGGGCCCUGCCAGCGAUGGCAGGCCCUAAAAUUAGUGGCGGUGCCGCUGAGCCCUGAGCGUAGUAAUUCUCCUCGCUACAGGGCCUCUGCGUGCCCCCGCCAGAACCCCCCAAUUUUCUAUGGUUGACCUCGGAUCAGGUAGGGAUACCCGCUGAACUUAAGCAUAUCAAUAAGCGGAGGAAAAGAAACCAACAGGGAUUGCCUUAGUAACGGCGAGUGAAGCGGCAUAAGCUCAAAUUUGAAAUCUGGCUCUUUCAGGGUCCGAGUUGUAAUUUGUAGAAGAUGCUUCGGGUGUGGUUCCGGUCUAAGUUCCUUGGAACAGGACGUCAUAGAGGGUGAGAAUCCCGUAUGUGACUGGGUGCCUAUGCUCAUGUGAAGCUCUUUCGACGAGUCGAGUUGUUUGGGAAUGCAGCUCAAAAUGGGUGGUAUAUUUCAUCUAAAGCUAAAUAUUGGCCAGAGACCGAUAGCGCACAAGUAGAGUGAUCGAAAGAUGAAAAGCACUUUGGAAAGAGAGUUAAACAGUACGUGAAAUUGUUGAAAGGGAAGCGCUUGCAAUCAGACUUGCGCCUGGUUGAUCAUCCGGGGUUCUCUCCGGUGCACUCGAUCAGGCUCAGGCCAGCAUCGGUUUGGGUGGUUGGAUAAAGGCCUUGGGAAUGUGGCCCCCCU